CCUACGGGUGGCUGCAGUGGGGAAUUUUGGACAAUGGGCGCAAGCCUGAUCCAGCCAUACCGCGUGCGGGAAGAAGGCCUUCGGGUUGUAAACCGCUUUUGUCAGGGAAGAAACGCUCCGGGUUAAUACCUCGGAGUAAUGACGGUACCUGAAGAAUAAGCACCGGCUAACUACGUGCCAGCAGCCGCGGUAAUACGUAGGGUGCAAGCGUUAAUCGGAAUUACUGGGCGUAAAUGGAAGACAGGCGGUAAAUCCCCGGGCUUAACCUGGGAACUGCAUUUGUGACUGCAUUGCUGGAGUGCGGCAGAGGGGGAUGGAAUUCCGCGUGUAGCAGUGAAAUGCGUAGAUAUGCGGAGGAACACCAAUGGCGAAGGCAAUCCCCUGGGCCUGCACUGACGCUCAUGCACGAAAGCGUGGGGAGCAAACAGGAUUAGAUACCCUUGUAGUC
RNAcentral lists this ribosomal RNA (448 nucleotides) under uncultured bacterium. Its description in RNAcentral is "partial 16S ribosomal RNA". It matches the Rfam family "Bacterial small subunit ribosomal RNA", at positions 338 to 795 of the family's 1533-position model. The record is from RNAcentral.